RNAcentral lists this ribosomal RNA (314 nucleotides) under uncultured bacterium. RNAcentral's name for it is "bacterial SSU rRNA". It matches the Rfam family "Bacterial small subunit ribosomal RNA", at positions 30 to 346 of the family's 1533-position model. The record is from RNAcentral.
AUUGAACGCUGGCGGAAUGCUUUACACAUGCAAGUCGAACGGUAGAGGGGGCAACCCCUUCGAGAGUGGCGAACGGGUGAGUAAUAUAUCGGAACGUGCCCAGUCGUGGGGAGUAACGUAGCGAAAGUUACGCUAAUACCGCAUACGAUCUAAGGAUGAAAGCGGGGGAGUCGCAAGACCUCGCGCGAUUGGAGCGGCCGAUAUCAGAUUAGGUAGUUGGUGGGGUAAAGGCUCACCAAGCCAACGAUCUGUAGCUGGUUUGAGAGAACGACCAGCCACACUGGGACUGAGACACGGCCCAGACUCCUACGGGA